Molecule: ribosomal RNA, 717 nt
Filed under: Alkalihalobacillus alcalophilus
Lineage: Bacteria; Bacillati; Bacillota; Bacilli; Caryophanales; Bacillaceae
Description: bacterial SSU rRNA
Rfam family: Bacterial small subunit ribosomal RNA
Source: RNAcentral
CUUGGAAUGGCGGCGUGCUAUACAUGCAAGUCGAGCGGAUUGAUGGGAGCUUGCUCCCUGAAAUCAGCGGCGGACGGGUGAGUAACACGUGGGUAACCUGCCUGUAAGACUGGGAUAACUCCGGGAAACCGGGGCUAAUACCGGAUAGUUCUUUUCCUCGCAUGAGGAAAAGUGGAAAGGCGGCUUCGGCUGCCACUUACAGAUGGACCCGCGGCGCAUUAGCUAGUUGGUGAGGUAACGGCUCACCAAGGCAACGAUGCGUAGCCGACCUGAGAGGGUGAUCGGCCACACUGGGACUGAGACACGGCCCAGACUCCUACGGGAGGCAGCAGUAGGGAAUCUUCCGCAAUGGACGAAAGUCUGACGGAGCAACGCCGCGUGAGUGAUGAAGGUUUUCGGAUCGUAAAGCUCUGUUGUUAGGGAAGAACAAGUGCCGUUCGAAUAGGGCGGCACCUUGACGGUACCUAACCAGAAAGCCACGGCUAACUACGUGCCAGCAGCCGCGGUAAUACGUAGGUGGCAAGCGUUGUCCGGAAUUAUUGGGCGUAAAGCGCGCGCAGGCGGUCUCUUAAGUCUGAUGUGAAAGCCCACGGCUCAACCGUGGAGGGUCAUUGGAAACUGGGGGACUUGAGUACAGAAGAGGAAAGUGGAAUUCCACGUGUAGCGGUGAAAUGCGUAGAUAUGUGGAGGAACACCAGUGGCGAAGGCGACUUUCUG